Molecule: ribosomal RNA, 376 nt
Filed under: uncultured Legionella sp.
Lineage: Bacteria; Pseudomonadati; Pseudomonadota; Gammaproteobacteria; Legionellales; Legionellaceae
Description: bacterial SSU rRNA
Rfam family: Bacterial small subunit ribosomal RNA
Source: RNAcentral
GUAGCUGGUCUGAGAGGAUGRCCAGCCACACUGGAACUGAGACACGGUCCAGACUCCUACGGGAGGCAGCAGUGGGGAAUAUUGGACAAUGGGGGCAACCCUGAUCCAGCAAUGCCGCGUGUGUGAAGAAGGCCUGAGGGUUGUAAAGCACUUUCAGUGGGGAGGAGGAUUGAUAGGUUAAGAGCURAUUAAUUGGACGUUACCCACAGAAGAAGCACCGGCUAACUCCGUGCCAGCAGCCGCGGUAAUACGGAGGGUGCGAGCGUUAAUCGGAAUUACUGGGCGUAAAGGGUGCGUAGGUGGUUUAUUAAGUUAUCUGUGAAAUCCCUGGGCUUAACCUGGGCAGGUCAKAUAAUACUGGUUAACUCGAGUAUGG